AGCUCACCCCGUCAUGGGGAUUCAAACCGCUGAUCUUCUGAUUGGCAAGUCCUAGGCUCAGUGGUUUAACCCACAGCGCCACCCACGUCCCUAUCUCAAUGUGUACAUGCCAUCUAUUUAAAGUGCACGACUCCCCCCCCCAAAAAUAUUAUUGGGAGCUGUAGUUUAAGAAUGCUGGGAAUCAUAGCUCUGAGAUGUAAACUAAAGUUCUCAAGGUUCAAAAAGGUGUACCAGACUGCCUCUUAUGGGGUCUGGAAUAUGCUACAACAUUUUGCUUCAGUUCCCACUUGUGUAUGCAUAAUACAUACCCCCAAUACACACACACAACACAAAAAAUCAACAAUAUAUCCAGCUAGGCAUACAAAACCUAAACAUAUUAAAUAAUGACACCCAAUUUAAAAUCACAACCAUAUUUCUGUAGAUAGUGUGGUGAGAGAUACAGUUUAGCUUCAGAUUUACAGGUAUGUGCUAUUUUUCUUCAAUAACUAAAUUCCAAUAGAUUUUUUUUAUGACAUAAGGAUAUAGUCCAUAUUUAAAAAAACAAAACAAUUUCCACUAUUUUGCUAUAGGGAUCCUGACAGCACCCAUGUCAAAAGUUCCUUUUGGCAAAAUGUAUUCAUGGUGUAUACCCUCAUAUUUAGUAGCAAUAAAUGGGGAUAAGUUUGAAUAUGUGUUUUAACAAUCUUCCAUAUUUCCUGAAUAACUUCAUUCCAGAAUAAAGCAGCCCAUAAGAAUCCCUGUCACCAUUCAUCCUACAGUUUGGUGAUGUAUUGGAAGUAAUAUUUGGAAGUGCACAAUAUUUAUAAAGAGGUAGUGGGCUUUGGGUUUGCUUUGUCAUGAAAGGAGUCUUGAAAGAGCUUGAAACAACAACAAAAAGUUGUUGGUAUCUCUUUAGCAUUUAUGUAGCAAUGUGGGAAGUAGGCUAAACCUAGACCUGCUGUAUUAUAUGGUUCCAGAUAAUUUGCCAUUAUUGUAGCUUCAGUUCCCCGUCUGUUAAGGGGGGAAAGCAACAAACAAUCUUGGAACUAGUAUUGGAAGUGACCCUAAAGGUCAUCUUGUCUUCAAUAUACCACUUCAGACUGUAAUGAGGCUGAGCACAAAUACAAACUUUUAGAAGUCCUAGGAAAACAAUAUCUAUGAGUAAAAUUCUGGGUUUUAGCUCUUUAAAUAAACCACACACUUUUUCUACUAAAACAUCCAAAAUACUAUACAGAAGUUUAAAAACAAGGAGAGAACUGUAAAAGGCAGAAAGUAAGAGGUUGUAAAUUAAGUUUAAAUGCUAUUUUUCAUAGUAAACGGAAACAUUGAAAUUUCUGGCUUUUAGGAGCUUAAUGCCCUGGCUCCCCUUUUCUUGCAACUACAGAUUCCCUUAUUAAUCAGCUGCAAUUCCAAUUUAAAACCCUCCCUUUAGAUCCACAGUCUUCACCUAUUUAGGAAAGCCUAAAAAGACCUACCUAAUCCUGAGAGAAAAAAGAGACGACUCAUCUUCUGUCUGAAAAAUGCAGUUUUAAAUUGCUGUCACAGGUGUCAGGUCUCUUGUUUGUCUUGCUUUCUAAUUUUGCAACGUUGCAGCACUUAUCUCACAAACUUCCUACUAGUACACAGUAAUUAAAAGCAUAUUAGUCUGCUUCAGGUGAAAAGCUUCUGGCAGUCCUAGAGUUCCUAAGUCUGAAGCAGAAGCAGUCUUCCUGGCUGACAUUAAAAUCCAAAUGUUUUAUAUAUGUGGCACAAUCAAAGCUCAAGUAAAGUAUUAAACAUUGGUCAUAGGACCUGUUUGGAGAAAGAUACUUAUUUUCCUCCUCCCCCUCACCUGAGAAACUAACUUUGUGCUUGCUCCACUCUGCUCUCAUAGUGUUUAAAAUAAAAAAAUUGAAGAUGGACCAUAGCACUUGGAUACAUUAGUCACUUGAAGGAGGACAACCCUGGUGGUCUCCCAUCUGGACACUUCAGCAGACCCGCCAAGUGUCCCUUUUUUCCAGGAACAGAUUUACAGAAGCCAUUGUGACACCUCCCUCUGCUGGCUCACUGGUCUCCAGAGUGUUAAAAGGCCCGGUGAGCUCCUAUGGUUGGAUCAUUUCAUGUUUGUUAUAGGAAGAAGACAAGACACGCUUUCAAGGCUGAGAAAAGUCUUUUCCUGGUUGGGAAGGAGAAAUAAGAUUUUGCCUCUCCCUGAGACCUGCUCCUCACCCACAAACUCCCCCUCCGCCUUCCCCUCUGGACAAAAAAGGCUCUGCAGACCUCCUGCCAGCCAGAACUAAAAACCCCAGGAAAACAUGAAGGCAAUGUCUAUUUCCAAGGAUAUGUUCAGGGUAUAGAAGAAAGUCCCUAAAACGGUUAUAAUUGCUAGCCUUCUCUUCUUUUCCAUUGAGAUGACAUAAUAUCUGAAGGCCUGGAGGGAGAGCAGGGGCAGGACAGCUUUUAUACUGACACCAUGAACCACAGAACCUGAACACGGAGUUUGCCCUCACUCUCUACCAAUGGGCAGAGCUCCACCAUGGAACGAACCUCGCCAUUUCCCCAAUGAGUGUGUCUCUUUCUUUGGGGCUCAAGGAAGCCCAUUGGCUCCGCUGCAGCAUGGUCUGGUAUACAGCACUCAUGAAGCAAGAUCCAAUCUUCUGGCCUGCAGGUGCCAGAUGGGACAGCGCACAGAAGAAUGGAAAAUGAAGUAAACAAAGAAUCUUCUGUACUUCAUAGUAUUUUGUAGUACCAUCCAUACAGGAGAUUUUGCCCAAGAAUUCUGCUAAUCGACAUUGCAUUGAGAGGAAUGAACACACGUACACAGGAAGUGCCUUUACACGUGUGACGAAAAACCUGGUUUACAUCAUACACGUUGCUGUUUAGUUGUGUCCGACUCUUCAUGACCCCAUGGACCAGAGCACGCCAGGCACUCCUGUCUUCCACUGCCUCCCGCAGUUUGGUCAGAC
Podarcis muralis (Common wall lizard) is the source of this 2924-nucleotide non-coding RNA. The record is from RefSeq and is a predicted model, not a curated record. Lineage: Eukaryota; Metazoa; Chordata; Lepidosauria; Squamata; Lacertidae.